AUAAAUCCUUGGAUAAGCACGGAAUACGUAAUAAUCCUUUCAAAUUUAUUCAUACAAAAAUCAUAACUUCAUUUAAUUAUAAAUAAUAAUGUUAAUGGAAAGAUAUAUUUUUGUAUUAUUUUAACAUAAAUUAUAAAAAGAUAUACAUAUACAUAUAUAAUGCAAAAUCUUAUCAUUAUUCAAUAUCGUUACUCGCAGAAAGAUAGUAAUUAGAUAGGUUAUCAUAUAUAUAUAUAUAUAUAUAUAUAUGUACGUACGUACGUAUGUAUGUAUGCCUUUAAAAUAUAAGCUAAAUAUAAUGUGAUUUAGAGGUCUUGAUAUAUUUACAAUCACUGCAUAAACAAUAUAUUUGAUAAGUCGUAAUUGUAAAAAAAGAAAGAUUUAGUAAUAGUACAGAACUCAUUACAUGUAAUGAGUAAUGUUAAUGAAGGAUUUAUUGCUGUCCAUGUGGGAGCAGGACGACAUUCAGAAGCUCUUAAAGAAAAAUAUCGGAAACUAUGCCGUCAAGCAUGCAAAGCUGGCAUACAAAAUUUAAAGGCUGGUGGUAGUUCAUUAGAUGCUGUAGUAGAAACUGUAAUAGUAUUAGAAAACUCUCCCUUAACCAAUGCUGGAUUUGGGUCGAAUCUCACAUUGGAAGGAGCAGUAGAAUGUGAUGCAAGUGUAAUGGAUGGUACUACAUUACAAUUUGGAGCAGUUGGUGCGGUUAGUGGAAUAAAAAAUCCUGUUUCAUUGGCAAAACGACUUUGCGAAUAUCAGUCAAUUAAGAUUGCAUAUGGUAGGAUUCCACCAAGUUUUUUAGUUGGGAAUGGCGCACAUGUAUGGGCACAAGAAAUGGGAAUACAAACAUUACCACCAGAACAGCUAAUUUCAACAAAAGCACAGAAGAUGUAUAAACAUUAUAAAAGAAAAAUAGAAAGUUCUAAUAUAGAUGUUCACAAGUAUACUAAACAAAGAAUGGAUACAGUUGGUGCAAUAUGCGUUGAUAAAGAAGGAAAUAUUGCUGGAGCUUGUUCUAGUGGUGGUAUUAUUUUAAAAUAUCCAGGAAGAGUAGGGCAGGCAGGAAUGUGGGGAUGUGGAACAUGGGCAUAUAAAGACAAAUAUUCUAUAGGGACAAGCACAUCAGGCUGUGGCGAACAUCUCAUUCGCACUUUGCUAGCGCGAACAACUGCAGAAGCUAUAUCACAUAAUUCUUGUCCUAUUAUCAACUUAUACCAUUCUAUGAAAGCUGAUUUUAUUGGUGAAAACUCAUUCGAAAUUUUUAUGUGGACUUGAACAGAAACUUGGAGGUGUUAUUGCUAUUCGAUAUGCAGCCCAAGAGGGAGUAGGAGAUUUCCUUUGGAGUCAUUCUACAAAUUCAAUGAUAAUAGGUUACAUGAAUUCAAAUGAACAAACACCAAUGAGUCAUAUGGCUGUUCUUCCAUCUCAUGAAGUUGGCAAGAAAGCAACCGUCGAAGGAAUCUGUUUCAAAAUUACAUAACAUGUUAAUGAAUUUAUGAUUCGUGUUAAAUUAUGUUAUUAUAUAAGAAAUAAUAUACAAUAAUGUCAAUA
RNA transcript from Bombus pyrosoma, 1548 nucleotides. It is a transcript of the gene named threonine aspartase 1-like, with no coding region annotated. The transcript has 10 exons. Lineage: Eukaryota; Metazoa; Arthropoda; Insecta; Hymenoptera; Apidae. The record is from RefSeq and is a predicted model, not a curated record.